Molecule: long non-coding RNA, 405 nt
Filed under: Androctonus crassicauda
Lineage: Eukaryota; Metazoa; Arthropoda; Arachnida; Scorpiones; Buthidae
Source: RNAcentral
CCCCCCCCCCCCCCCCCCCCCCCGGAGGGCUGUUGGGACGGUUGGGAAAUUGGAGUUGGAUGGGGUGGUGACAGUUAUUGGAGACGUGCAGCUUCCGCAGUUCGGGAGGGACCUGCUGCGGAGGGGCCCGGCAUGUGCCGCCUCUCCUCAAAUCAAGCAGUGGUGUGCCAGUGAUAGAGGAUUUGCUCAGGGAUAUGCAAGAAAGUGACAGCACCAAGCACAGGUACAGGUGGCGCUGGGUGGGAUGGGCCGCGAGGCGGAGGCGACCUGGGAGGCCGAAUGGUGCUGGCGUCUAUGGGACUGGCCUCAUUGGGGGAGCCGCGAUCUGGGCACAUCGGAGUGACUUGGUGGUCACAAGAGAGGAGGGAGCGAAGAAGAUUGUAGUAGUGCAGGAGAGUAGGUGCG